AGAUUUGUAAAGUUGAUUAUUGUGUGGUAUAUUAAAGUGUUGUGUAAAUAACUAUAGCGAUAAACGUUAUAAGCAAUAGGUGCUUUGGACCCGGGGGCGGAACCCGGCGUCUCCACCAUUUGGGGGGACGAAUUAGGCUCGACAGACAUUGAAAGUUAUGAUUUUCGCUCGGCAUGGUACCACCGUUAUCGGGCUAAUUUAAUAAGUGCAAACGAUUAUGCACUGCAUGACAUGCGCCUAGCAGCCUAGCGGCGAGCUAUAAUGCAUUGAAUGCGCGGUUAGGGGACGCCGAGCAACAGAAGUCCCCAUU
RNAcentral lists this transfer-messenger RNA (310 nucleotides) under Holosporales bacterium. It matches the Rfam family "Alphaproteobacteria transfer-messenger RNA". From Rfam's summary of the family: Bacterial tmRNA, also known as 10Sa RNA or SsrA, is named for its dual tRNA and mRNA-like properties. Its role is to liberate the mRNA from a stalled ribosome. To accomplish this part of the tmRNA is used as a reading frame that ends in a translation stop signal. The record is from RNAcentral. Lineage: Bacteria; Pseudomonadati; Pseudomonadota; Alphaproteobacteria; Holosporales.